RNAcentral lists this long non-coding RNA (1119 nucleotides) under Monodelphis domestica (gray short-tailed opossum). RNAcentral's name for it is "lncRNA (ENSMODG00000042054.1)". The record is from RNAcentral. Lineage: Eukaryota; Metazoa; Chordata; Mammalia; Didelphimorphia; Didelphidae.
CUAUACUAUUUUCAAUUGAUUAAUAUACUCAUAUAAAGAUAUUUAUAAGCUAAAAUACAACUAAAGGAGAUCAAAUUGGGAAGAAUGUGAAGUCGUUCAAGUCCAUGUCAUAUGAUGAUUAGUUAAAGAAGCUGGGGACAUUUAGGUCUGAAGAAAGGCAGAUGUAAAAGUGAUGUGAGAUUUCCUCAAGAUUACAUGAAACAAAGAGGUGGAACAACUAGACCUGAAGUAAAGAAAAACUGAGUCCAAAUCCUAUCCCAUAUACUUAAUGUGUGACUCUGGACAAGCCACUUAAUCUCUUUAAGCUUCUCUUUAUUUAUCUGUAAAAUGGGGAUAAUAAAAGCACCUAUCCCCUGGUGUUUGGGGUGGAUCAAGUGAAAUAAGAUACAUAAUGUCCUUUGUAGACUUUAAAUUAUUUUGUAAAUGUUCAUUAUUAGUAUUUUCAUAAUGAGCAUGGAGUAGAGAACAGAAUUUUAGACAUAAGGUCAGAAAGACAUGAAUUCAAAUCUCAGCUCCAAGGCUUACUAGUGGUAUUAUCUUGAACAAAUCACCUACUCCUGGGACCUGAGUUUUCUUACUAAAAUAAUUUGGACUUAAAAUUUAAGUCCAGAAUUUUACCUAGUAUAAGGAUGUAAAGGAUUUUCACCAUGAAAAGGAAUUAUGCAUUUCUGAAUGCCCUCUAAGUGGAUAACUAGGAAAAAUGGGUAAAAUGUACAGAGAACCAUUUUUAGAUUUGACAUAGGGAAAACUGCCAAGAAAUUAAAACUAUUUAAGGGAGAACUGAACUGCCUGCGGCUGGAGUGAGUUAUGCCUCAUUAGAGUUGUUGAAGCAAAGACUGGGUAAACAUAUAUAUAUAUUUCUAACAUUGGGCAGACUUUAUUUUAGCUUUCAUGUAAGACAUCAUAAUUAUUGUGUGUUGCUUAAUGAAAUAUUCAUCCAAUCCUAGCUACUUCUAAAAGAGUUACACCUGUCAGUUCUAAUAUGUUCUUUAUUCAUAAUGGAUAAUAGAUACAAAUUGGAUAAGUAUUUCUUGCUAAAACACAUCUUAAUGGUAAUUUAAUAAUUUGUAGAGGGGAGUUGAAAAUAAAUUGAUGAGAAGUGAAGAAUCUAUAAUUUUU